GCCGGCAGCUAGCUCUCUGCAACUCUCACAUGGUCGCCCACUGAAGCAAAGCAGGGCUGCACCUGAUCAGUACCUGGAUGGGAGACUACAUGGGAAAUCUAGGUUGCUGCUGGAA
This 115-nucleotide ribosomal RNA is filed under the name Danio rerio (zebrafish). Lineage: Eukaryota; Metazoa; Chordata; Actinopteri; Cypriniformes; Danionidae. The record is from RNAcentral.